Molecule: non-coding RNA, 361 nt
Organism: Cinara cedri
Lineage: Eukaryota; Metazoa; Arthropoda; Insecta; Hemiptera; Aphididae
Source: the annotation of a GenBank genome assembly
UAUGGAUGCAAAGGAGAAGGACAACUAUUAUAUAUAUAUAUAGGAUAUGAAAAUUACACUUUUCUAAUCUAUCCCCAACAAUAGGAUGCACUCAACGAAGCCUUUUAUUUUUUUUAGUUUAAUUAUGUCUUCUUUUAAGCAACAGAGCUAGUAUUAGAGUUUCUUCUACUUCCAUGGUUGAGUAAAAAAUAAAUAAUAAUUAUAUUGAAUCAGAUACUCGUGUGAAAGUCGCCCACACAUGAAACGCUUGUUUUUUCUCAUAGUGUGAUUCUAGUGGCUGGCCACAAAGUGUCUUGUCUGAAAGCGCUCUUAAAGUAUUAUACAGUUCAAAAUAUUGUAGAAAAUUAAACAUUCUCCAUUA